GCGCGAAAACUUUACAAUACUGGCAACAGCGAUAAGGGAACCUCGAGUGCCAGGUUACAAAUCUGGCUGUCGAGAUGCCUAAAAAGCAUUUCAUAGCAAGGGCCGGGCAAGACCGGUGCCAGCCGCCGCGGUAACACCGGCGGCUCGAGUGGUAACCGUUAUUAUUGGGUCUAAAGGGUCUGUAGCCGGCCGGAUAAGUCUCUUGGGAAAUCUGGCAGCUCAACUGUCAGGCUUUCAGGAGAUACUGUCUGGCUCGAGGCCGGGAGAGGUGAGAGGUACUUCAGGGGUAGGGGUGAAAUCUUGUAAUCCUUGAAGGACCACCAGUGGCGAAGGCGGCUCACCAGAACGGACCUGACGGCAAGGGACGAAAGCUAGGGGCACGAACCG
This 387-nucleotide ribosomal RNA is filed under the name uncultured bacterium. RNAcentral describes it as "bacterial SSU rRNA". It matches the Rfam family "Archaeal small subunit ribosomal RNA", at positions 339 to 726 of the family's 1478-position model. The record is from RNAcentral.